CUAUAAUCAAGCCUGCAGUGUUUAAACCAUGGCCUGUCCUCCAUUCUUUGACACAUUGUCUACUCACCCUGAGUGGUAGCUAGAGUCUGUCCCUUAAAUUAACAAUUCAAGUUUUUGCUUCUUUCUUGAGGAGUUUUUCAAAAGUCUAACACGUUUUCUUUUUUUGCCUGAGUGUUUUUGUCCGCCCGCCUGCCACAACCUCUGGAUUAUCCACCAUUACUGCUCUGUUUUUUUUGGACCAUAAACCAGCUCCUGUGUUUAUUGUGUUGCUCUUGGAUCCAGUCCUUCAUUUAAAUCGUAACACAAACUUUUGUUUCAUCAUUUACCAUAAGCUCCCUGCGGAAGGCGCAGUGGUCGGCUGCAGCGAGUUGUUUGAAGGUGUCCUCCACUAGAUGUCGGUGAUGCCCCUGGGGACAGACCAGGAAACCGGGCUGAGGGCAGUCUGAGCACCGAACUGUCCACUGGAGCCGUCUCCCCACCAGAUCAGCUGCACCAUGAUAACACCAUGGACUGUAAAUAAUGACGAUCACACCUGAUGUGUUGAUGGCAUCUGUUCUGGAACUCCCUUUUAAUGUUGCAUUCAAGUGCUGCCGGGAAAUAUCACUAUCGCGUCAAGUCUUUCAACUCUUAUUGUGCGAGUUUAGGAUAUUGUUUGGAUCUGUGGUGAUAGUUAAAAUGGUUUUACACGACCACACUUGUUAAAUAAAUAAAACAUACUUGUUCCCAAAGAGCAAUACAUUCCCAAGCAUUUCAAGACUAUAGCUAUAGGCUGUAGUGGUUCCCAAAGUAGGGGUCGGGACCCCCUGGGGGGCACUUAGACAGGUUGCGAGGUGCCUUCCAUAAAUAAAUAAAAAAAGUUUGAUUUAAAAUAUGCAUAUCUUACCCAUUAUUGUGGAAAUACAAUUAAAAAUACAACUGUACUUGUUAAGUAAGAUUUAUGCUGAAAUGAAAGUGAUGUGAAAACAAAUCAACAAGCUUUCAUGAAACAGGAGUCAGCUAGAGGGCACCAGAGAUUAGUAAAGAGACGAGAGGUUUAACUUUCAAAGUUACAUUUUCAGCUUUGUAAUGGACCUGGUGCUCAUUAUGAUUUUUUAUUCAGGUUUAACCAUUAAAAACAAAAUUGUAAUCACCAA
Non-coding RNA from Labrus bergylta (ballan wrasse), 1133 nucleotides. The record is from RefSeq and is a predicted model, not a curated record. Lineage: Eukaryota; Metazoa; Chordata; Actinopteri; Labriformes; Labridae.